AUUGAACGCUGGCGGAAUGCUUUACACAUGCAAGUCGAACGGCAGCACGGACUUCGGUCUGGUGGCGAGUGGCGAACGGGUGAGUAAUACAUCGGAACGUGCCCAGUCGUGGGGGAUAACGUAGCGAAAGCUACGCUAAUACCGCAUACGAUCUAAGGAUGAAAGCGGGGGAUCGCAAGACCUCGCGCGAGUGGAGCGGCCGAUGGCAGAUGAGGUAGUUGGUAGGGUAAAGGCCUACCCAGCCGACGAUCUGUAGCUGGUCUGAGAGGACGACCAGCCACACUGGGACUGAGACACGGCCCAGACUCCUACGGGAGGCAGCAGUGGGGAAUUUUUGACAAUGGACGCAAGUCUGAUCCAGCCAUUCCGCGUGCAGGAUGAAGGCCCUCGGGUUGUAAACUGCUUUUGUACAGAACGAAAAGGCUCUGGUUAAUACCUGGAGCUCAUGACGGUACUGUAAGAAUAAGCACCGGCUAACUACGUGCCAGCCGCCGCCGUAA
This 500-nucleotide ribosomal RNA is filed under the name uncultured bacterium. RNAcentral's name for it is "partial 16S ribosomal RNA". It matches the Rfam family "Bacterial small subunit ribosomal RNA", at positions 30 to 523 of the family's 1533-position model. The record is from RNAcentral.